Parasteatoda tepidariorum (common house spider) is the source of this 388-nucleotide non-coding RNA. The record is from RefSeq and is a predicted model, not a curated record. NCBI's taxonomy places the organism in Eukaryota, Metazoa, Arthropoda, Arachnida, Araneae, Theridiidae.
UAUUUUACUCUAUACCCCAUACAUUUUCUUAUAAAAGUGAGAGUCACUUGAUUUCACGUUAGAACGGCAUUUGAAACAGUAAAAGAAUACCGAAAUCAAAAUGAUGGCAUACUUGCUUUAUGUGGUUUUUUCUUCUUAUCUUACAGUAUCUUCGUGGUGAAUGGAGAAUGUGAUUUAUUAGAUCCGUGUCCAAAGGGAAUGGCCUGUGUUUCAGUAGAUGGUGGUACACGUUGUAAAAAACAUGCUCAGCUAGGGAAUGUGUGCAGUCCAACUGGUUUGCUUGGCGACAGGUUCGCAGUUUAUCAGAACUAUCCAUCUUGUGAACCAAAAACUCUUAAGUGCGUCCAAGAGAAUGGGCGAGUGAGUAAUACAAUUCUUCUUAAAUCUC